This 971-nucleotide long non-coding RNA is filed under the name Linum usitatissimum (flax). Its description in RNAcentral is "long non-coding RNA (LUSI_LNC006047)". The record is from RNAcentral. Lineage: Eukaryota; Viridiplantae; Streptophyta; Magnoliopsida; Malpighiales; Linaceae.
AAAAAAUAAAAAUUGGACCAAUCUGUCAGAAAAUUAGAAAAUCAUCAUCGAAACAUAUAAUAAACAAAACAGGAACAAUGUAUUAUAUCAUGGUGUAGCAUGUGUAUGUUUCAUCGACGGCGAUUAACUGAAUUCUCCACAAAUAAGCACAUACAAUUUUAAAUCGUCAAUUUAAAACUUCCACUCACCCCGUCUCUCGAAUUUGAUUUGCUCAUGUGGCUUCGACCACCCAAUCUGGAGCGUAAUCACGGUGAGAAGGAGUAUCAUCUUCCAAUCUUUUCAAUGGAAGUUGUUGGUUUGCAGAACGAAUGUGAGUCAUUCGUGUUUUAGGGCGGUUUUGGCGAUAUCUUCGACGGUUGCGACGGAUCUGGAACAAGUUUCAAACAGCCCCCUUUUCAAAACGAGAAUAAAAAAAGAGAAGAAACUCUGGCUACUAACCUGUUCCAUUUCUCAUAUGGUCGGCCAGUAAAACUAGGUUGUGAUGUCUCCGAAUCCGCUGCCGUUUAAAAACUCACCUGUUUCUGUGUUUCUCUAUUUCGCCGGUUGGAGAUUCAUAUCUUCACCACCCCAAAACCGCUGCAGAAGAAAGAGAUUACGAGUGUUCAGAAUCCGAUCGCCGGAAUCAUAUAAGGUAUGGAGGUGCGUCGUUCUUACCUACACAACCGGUGGAUGGAAGAGUGGCGGCGUUUGGUAGUUGACGCCGAACUAGGAGUUCUUCCCGGCGGACGGUUAUAAAAACCCGAAUUCUUCAAUUUUCAUAUGUUUUGUUAUAGGAGAGUGAAUUUGGCUCAAAUAUACGUGGUUAACAAAAUAAAAAAACAAAAUUUUGGGAAUAAAUUAUCUCUUUCCUUUUUUAAUUUUUAGAAAUAAGAAAAUUCAGAAUAUAAUAAUCUGAAUACUUAUAUUCGACAUGAGCCAUUGAUUUAAACUCCUAAAAUUUAAUGGCUAAAAUUACUAAUCGGGUGUCCUAA